Molecule: microRNA precursor, 106 nt
Filed under: Marmota monax (woodchuck)
Lineage: Eukaryota; Metazoa; Chordata; Mammalia; Rodentia; Sciuridae
Source: RNAcentral
AAUGGAAUUGCUAGGUUAUAUGGUACUUCUAUGCACCAACUUUUUUAAAAAAAGAAAAAUUGUUUUCUAAAAAAUGAUUGCAUCAUUUUACAUUCCUAACAGCAAU